RNAcentral lists this ribosomal RNA (434 nucleotides) under uncultured Pantoea sp. Its description in RNAcentral is "bacterial SSU rRNA". It matches the Rfam family "Bacterial small subunit ribosomal RNA", at positions 958 to 1392 of the family's 1533-position model. The record is from RNAcentral. Lineage: Bacteria; Pseudomonadati; Pseudomonadota; Gammaproteobacteria; Enterobacterales; Erwiniaceae.
AACGCGAAGAACCUUACCUGGUCUUGACAUCCACGGAAUUUGGCAGAGAUGCCUUAGUGCCUUCGGGAGCCGUGAGACAGGUGCUGCAUGGCUGUCGUCAGCUCGUGUUGUGAAAUGUUGGGUUAAGUCCCGCAACGAGCGCAACCCUUAUCCUUUGUUGCCAGCGGUCCGGCCGGGAACUCAAAGGAGACUGCCAGUGAUAAACUGGAGGAAGGUGGGGAUGACGUCAAGUCAUCAUGGCCCUUACGACCAGGGCUACACACGUGCUACAAUGGCAUAUACAAAGAGAAGCGACCUCGCGAGAGCAAGCGGACCUCAUAAAGUAUGUCGUAGUCCGGAUUGGAGUCUGCAACUCGACUCCAUGAAGUCGGAAUCGCUAGUAAUCGUGGAUCAGAAUGCCACGGUGAAUACGUUCCCGGGCCUUGUACACACCG